Oreochromis aureus is the source of this 1346-nucleotide long non-coding RNA. RefSeq lists it as uncharacterized. Lineage: Eukaryota; Metazoa; Chordata; Actinopteri; Cichliformes; Cichlidae. The record is from RefSeq and is a predicted model, not a curated record. The transcript has 3 exons.
GGCUCCAACAAUCUGAGGGUCAUGUCUGCUUUUCAUUGCCACCUAUUCCACUGCUGCUUUCCUCUGUAAUGAGUCCUGGUGAGCCGACAAGGUCAGGUGGCACAGACACAUGGAAAUAUUGUUUCUUUUUCAUGUGCUAGCUCUGUGUGUUUGCACUGGAUCAUUUCACCAUCUCCGUGUGUUUGUGUGUGUGUGUACGUAGGGACGCACAUCAAGCUACAAAGCCACCAAGACUUUAGUGCACUAUGAGAGUUGGCUCUCUCCAGUGCCAUUGAUGCAGUGCUCCAGUGAACAGCAUCAACUAGUGUGGUGGCAAGGUCACAGAGGGGGCUGCAGUCUAUCCCAGCAUAGGGUGAAAAGCAUCCUGGGCAGGUCGCAAGCCUAUCACAGGAAUCCCAUCAUACAGUGCUGUGAAAAAGUGGUUGCCCCCUUCCUGAUUUCCUGUUUUUUGCAUAUUUGUCAACUUAAAUCGUUAAACAUGAAUAUUAGACACAAGUAAACACAAAAUGCUGUUUCUAAUUGAAAGUGUUUAUUAUUAAGGAGAAAAGAAAAUUCAAACCUACAUGGCCCUGUAUGAAAAAGAUGUGAAUCUGCUGGUGUGUUGUGGAUCAUUGUCCUGCUGCAGAACCCAAGUGAGGUCAGUCAGCUUGAGGUCACAAACAGAUGGCUGGACUUUCACCUUCAUGAUGUUUGGUAGAAAGCAGAAUUUAUGGUUCCAUUUACCACAGCGAGUCUUCCAGGUUCUGGGGCAAAACAGCCCCAGACCAUCACACUACCAUGCUGAGUUACUUUUAUGCCAGAUGUAAUGGGACACACACCUUCCAACAAGUUAGACUUUUGUCUCAUCAGUCCACAGAGUAUUUUCCCUAAAGUCAAGAUCAAGAUCAUCAAGAUCAUCAAGUUUUCUGGCAAAACUGAGAUGAGUCUUUAUGUUCCUUUUGCUCAGGAGGACCUCCUGGACCUCUGGCCAUUUUCGCCCAGUCUCAUUCUUAUGGUGGAGUCAUGAACCUUAACUGCAAGCCUCAUUGAGGCAAGUGAGGCUUGCAGUUCUUUGGAUGUUGUUCUGGCGUUUUUUGUUCUUUGGUGACCUCUUGGGUUAGUUGUCACUACGCUCUUGGGGUAAUUUUGGUCAACCGGCCACUCGUGGGAAGGUUCACCACUGUUCCAUAUUUUAUACUCCAUAUACUCAGGAAGAACUGAAAAAUUAAAUUAUUUGAGGACUACACUAAAUUUAUGUCAGGGAAACUCAGCCAGAGAGACUAUCAACCAACCAACUACUCAUUGCAUACGGGAUUUGAACACCAUUGUACUGUAAAAACAUUGCCUGCCUUUUAUGGAGUACCAAG